CUUCUGUAGCCUGGUGACCACUGCCACCUUCUGCCCUCAGCAAGAGCCUAGGUGUGGAUACAGGAAAAAUUAAGUUAUCAUCCUAAGACAAUGAGUAUGGUGAGAUAUCAUGCAUGUGAUUAUGUUAGGUCACAAAGCAAAAGGGAUUCUUGUGAGAGGUAAUUAAGGUUACAAAUUAAAUAAACUUGAGUAAUCAAAAGGGAUAUCCAAGUGAGCCCAAGCUGAUUACAUGAGACUUUUAAAAGCAGUAGAGUUUUGUCCAGUUGGAAGCAUAAGAAAUCCGAGACAUUGAAAGAAUAAGGACAUGGUGUGCCACCGAUGCAUUGAAGUUGGUGGGGCGAUGCCAGAAGGAAUAUGAGCAGCCUCUGAGAGAAGAAGCCAGCCUUUCUUUAGCAGUCAUCAAGGAAAUGAAGACCUCAGGCCUGCAUCCACAAGGAACUACAUUCUGAAAACAGCCUGGAUAAUCGUGGAAAAGGAUUCUUCCCCAGAACCUCCAGUACCAGCCAUAAACUCGUCUCAGUUUGGCUUUACAUUACUUCGUUUCCUGCAGCUGGCAUUGGCUGAGAAUAGGGAAGCCUUCAUGAAGAAAGCAGCAUGGCAUCUGGCCUUUGAAGGAUGGACAGAAUUUGGUCAUAUGAAAAUUGGUGUGAAGGGAGGGAAGAACAUUUCUUACAGAAGUGGCCCGGCCAGUUUAAAAGGCCAUGAUCUGAGCGGAAACCAUCAGACAGUCAAUCUGAGCCUAACAAGACUGGCCCCAAAACAGGUGAGUAGAUGGGCCUAAGUUGAAGCUUUUUAAAUUUUUUUUUUUUUUUUUUUUUUUUGAGACAGAGUCUUGCUGUCACCCAAGCUGGAUUGCAGUGGAAUAAUCUCAGCUCACUGCAGCCUCCGCCUCCCAGGCCCAAAUGAUUCUGCCCCCUCAGCUUCCUGGGUAGGUGGGAUUACAGGCGCACACCACCACACCCAACUAAGUUUUACAUUUUUAGUAGAAACGAGGUUUCACCAUGUUGGCCAGGCUGGUCUCAAACUCCUGAUGUCAAGUGAUUUGCCUGCCUUGGCCUCCCAAAGUUCUGGGAUUACAGGUGUGAGCCACUGUGCCCAGCCUGAAGUUUAUUUUCAUUAGGUGAGAGGCCAAGGAAGAAAAGGACUCACAAGUGUGAAGAAAUUCACUUCUCUUAUUCUGUCUUCAGCCCAGUGUGUGACUGUAUACACUAUAGCUCUUCCAAGGUCUACUGAAUACCACUAAGGUACCCAAGGAAAACUUUCUCCUCCCUGCCAAACUCCCCACACCAUUUUCCACUAAUAGAAAAUUUCUAACAGUGAUAAUACAGGGUAUCUCCUGAGAAGCAGCCUCGCUUGCUAAAAUUCCAAAUACAGAAUUCUUCUAGAACCCAAUCAAAAAGUCGUAGUCAGCACCUGACCUGCAGAAAAGAAAGCCGUCAAUGCCUAAGCACAUGUAUACAGGUCUCUCACAGGUAAAGGUUCAGAGACACUGCUUCAACAAUAACUUUAUUAUGUAGACACAGGCCAGAGAGAGAACUCUGGGAGGCUGAAGAGAGAAAAGUGAAUCAGCUAAGUUCUUGACAGAAUUGUGGGGAAAAGCCAAAGCUUCUCCAGUUGAAUUUCAUGGUAACUUUGUUGACCAAAGACUAACUUGCUCUGGGAGGCAGCAGCUAAGACUAUCUUUUCAGUGCCUUUAAUCAGAGGGAUAGAUAUGCUCUCCACUGUAUAGAGAACUAAGAUGGGGUCUGCUGGACGUGGUGGCUCAUGCCUUUAAUCCCAGCCCUUAGGGAGGCAGAAGCAGGUGGAACAUGAGGUCAGGAGUUCAACACUAGCCUGGUCAACAUGGCAAAACCUCAUCUCUACUAAAAAACGACAAAAAUUACCUGGGUGUGGUGGUAGACGCCUGUAAUCCCAGCUACUUUGGAGGCUGAGGCAGGAGAAUUGUUUGAACGCAUGAGGCAGAGGUUGCAGGGAGUCCAGAUCAUGCCACUGCACUCCAGCCUGUGCGACAAGAGUGAAACUCUGCCUCAAAAAUGAAAAAAUUAACAAAAGAGAGAGAGAGGGAAAACCAAGAGGGAACUGGCUAUCUCCAGACAAAAGUCAUGCACAGCUUCCUACUGGCCUCCUGUCACAAGGUCAGGUUUAUUGACUAUCUCAGUCUUUGUUCCACGUGAUUUAUCUUGCAUAGGUUCUCAAAAGCCUACAAACACCUCCCCUAAUAGAGUGUGUUUGUUAAGAGUUAUAUACCAGCUCUCAGCAGUGUCUUCCAGCCAAUCAAUAUGCUGAGAGACUCUGUGAAAUAGACGAUAGCCAUCAAAGCGUGUCCAAUUUAUUUAGGUUUUCACUUUUCCAACUGUUAAAGGUCAGAUACUAUAUUUAUCACAAUCAAAUAUACAUGGAUAUUGAAAAGAUAUCUUUGCAAGCACAUUUUUUUGCAAUGGGGUAGGGUGUGGAAGGGUUUCCUUCUGGUUUCUGAAAAGUUCAC
Molecule: long non-coding RNA, 2485 nt
Filed under: Callithrix jacchus (white-tufted-ear marmoset)
Lineage: Eukaryota; Metazoa; Chordata; Mammalia; Primates; Cebidae
Description: lncRNA (ENSCJAG00000064410.2)
Source: RNAcentral